UGGGGAAUAUUGCACAAUGGGCGCAAGCCUGAUGCAGCCAUGCCGCGUGUAUGAAGAAGGCCUUCGGGUUGUAAAGUACUUUCAGUCGGGAGGAAGGUGGUAAGGUUAAUAACCUUAUCAAUUGACGUUACCGACAGAAGAAGCACCGGCUAACUCCGUGCCAGCAGCCGCGGUAAUACGGAGGGUGCAAGCGUUAAUCGGAAUUACUGGGCGUAAAGCGCACGCAGGCGGUUGAUUGAGUCAGAUGUGAAAUCCCCGGGCUCAACCUGGGAACUGCCUUCUAAACUCGCAGGCUAGCGUCUUGUCGAGGGGGGUACAAUUCCAGGUGUAGCCGUGAAAUGCGUAGAGAUCUGGAGGCAUACCGGUGGCGAAGGCGGCCCCCUCGACAAAGACUGACGCUCAGGUGCGAAAGCGUGGGGAGCAAACAGG
This 429-nucleotide ribosomal RNA is filed under the name Chloroflexota bacterium. RNAcentral's name for it is "Chloroflexi bacterium partial 16S ribosomal RNA". It matches the Rfam family "Bacterial small subunit ribosomal RNA", at positions 355 to 776 of the family's 1533-position model. The record is from RNAcentral. Lineage: Bacteria; Bacillati; Chloroflexota.